UCUUCGACCAUGACUUAAUCACUCUCCCACUUAUUCAAAAACGCAGCUAACCGCAUAAGAUAGAUAUCUUCCCAUCUGCACAUCAAGUUCUAGCCCAAAGAAACAAUAAAAACAGGCCUUUGGGGACACUUGAAACAAAGUCUAUUCAAUCACUUACCAAGGAUGUAAUCAAGGUAUGCUUUAUCAAUAAGGUAUGAAAAGACCCUAUAAUUUGUAUGCAAUGUAAUGCUGCUCUUUAGUGGUGUAUGCAAUGAAAUUUGUUUUCACACCUUAUUACCAGUAAUAAGGUCAAAGUGGCAUGCAAAUGCAUGCAAGAUGAUCUUCAUUCAAUAAGAUAAUGCAAAGUCUCACAUUAGAACCCAGACCCUAGGGUUACAACCUCUGAAGAUAGCUUUGACAUUAGAAUAGUUCAACUCCAAAAUUCACCUGACACAAAUGUGAAUGAUCUGAGAUGAUUUAGAGUUAUUCAAAGUAUUUAAAUUGAAUCAAUAUGCUAUAAUGUUGACCAAUUGAUCAAUGCAAUUGAUGAAUCAUAUGCACAACUAUCUCUGCAUACUUUAAACAAAGUAUUCAUGAGCUUGCAAGGCUACAAUGCAAGAAAUCACGAAAGAAAUGGGCCACAAUGCCUACAGGAUACUACGUAUGAAAAAAGAUGCACUAGAGAGUGGAUCAUCAACUACUCCUAACUAACUUGGAAGUGCCACUUAACUUAGUAGAAGAGUGCAUAAUUUACAUGUUUGAAAAUGCUUCAAUGCUUUGUGUGGAAGGGCUAAUGGAUCAGUUCCUACAAUGAGGAAUUUAGAAAAUGAUGUUAGAUAUUUUUGUACAGACAGAAAACAUGUAAAGAUGCCUAUUGUUUUUUUUUUUUUUUUUUUUUGUUAGAAGGCUACUAUUUUUUAUGCCUAGAAAAACAUGUGUGUAGCAACAUAGUCUACUUGUUUAAGGUGUAAAAGAUGAUAUUUUUUUUAAUCCAUUAACUCUACAUGCUUUACAUAUGAAUGCACCAAACAAGCACAAAACAUAAUCCAAACCUCACAUAUGAAGAUAACAGCCAGCCAACAACCACAAAACACAAUCCAAACCUCACAUAUGAAGGAAGAACCGGCCUACAACCACAACACACAAUCCAACAGGGUCAUAACCUUAAAUCAUUGAAAAUUUUCAAAUAAAAUGUAGGCAAAAAUAAUCAUUUCAGCAUAAUUUCAAUACCGACGACAUAGUACUAGCCCACGUACCCCAAAUCGUAACAAUAUAAUCGAGUGUAGGGCAUUCAAGUAUCUCAAAUAUAGUGUGAUAAAAAAAUUAUUAUUUUAAUUUAAUUCAACCUACCUACAAUAAAAAAACAAGUGUAAAAGGAAACUCCUCACAAAUUUGCAGAUUAGGGGUAGCAAGAUUCACAACAUGUAUCACUUGUAGAAGGCUUCGCUCAAACCACCUGCUCCUCAGUCUUGGGGACAUCCAUCCAGCCUUCAUAAGUGCUUGCCCAUAUCGAUUCGUCUACUAUGUCGUCGAGAGAUAUGUUGGACCAUGGUGGCAGUAAGUCGGCGACGAUGAGGUCGCUCAUAUCGUCAUCUAACCCCAAAGAAUCGAGGGUCGUCGAUGGAGGAUCGGAGCUUGUCUUCUUUUUCGUCGUUGCGGCGGACGACGGAUGAUGGAUUUGGGCAGGUUUGCACAGAGAAGGGGUUGCACCGACAGAGAAUUCGAGAGAGAAGUGUAAGAGGCGGUUGUAUUAGAGUGAAGCAAUAAAUUAAAAAU
This 1755-nucleotide long non-coding RNA is filed under the name Salvia miltiorrhiza (redroot sage). RNAcentral describes it as "long non-coding RNA (SMIL_LNC007503)". The record is from RNAcentral. Lineage: Eukaryota; Viridiplantae; Streptophyta; Magnoliopsida; Lamiales; Lamiaceae.